Molecule: RNA transcript, 1373 nt
Organism: Cornus florida
Lineage: Eukaryota; Viridiplantae; Streptophyta; Magnoliopsida; Cornales; Cornaceae
Gene name: telomere repeat-binding factor 1-like
Exons: 8
Source: RefSeq, a predicted model, not a curated record
UAGAAAAUCAGAAAUAUUACAUUAAUCAGAAUACGAAACGCAUUUUUAUACACACAAAGACACACGAACAAAGGGGGUGACGAAAGAGAGAAAAAAGUGAGAGAGGUUUUCAAAUUCUCCGCCGCUUCAAGCAUAGAAGCAACAGGAAUUCGUCUCUGGUCAAAUUCGUGAUAUCCUUGAUGGGUGCUCCUAAGCAAAAAUGGACAUCAGAAGAAGAAGCAGCUCUUAAAGCUGGAAUUGUCAAGCAUGGGGCAGGGAAGUGGCGUACAAUUCUUAAAGAUCCAGAAUUUAGUGGUAUCUUGUACCUACGUUCAAAUGUAGAUCUCAAGGACAAGUGGAGAAAUUUGAGUGUUAUGGCAAAUGGAUGGGGCUCUAGAGAUAAGGCAAGAGUAGCACUUAAAAGGAUGCAGCAAGUUCCUAAACAGGAUGAGAAUUCCAUGGCUCUUAGUACAGUAGUUGAAAGUGAUGAAGAACCCGUUGAUGCCAAGCCUCUUGCAGUAUCUAAUGUUUCUGCACAGAGUAGUGUUCCAAAAAGAUCAAUCAUAAGGUUGGACAAUCUUAUAAUGGAGGCUAUAAAUAACUUGAAGGAGCUUGGUGGUUCUAACAAGACAACUAUAUCUACAUAUAUAGAGGAACAAUACUGGGUGCCUCCAAACUUUAAAAGACUAUUAUCAGCAAAAUUGAAAUUUUUGACUGCAAGCGGGAAACUAAUCAAGAUGAAACGGAAGUACAGAAUUACACCAACUUCAGCUUUAUCUGACAAAAGAAGAAACUCUUCCAUACUCCUGGAGGGAAGGGAAAGGGAUCCUCCUAGGUUUGACAGGGAUGAUACCAGUAAUCUGCGAAAACCUGAGAUCGAUUUAGAUUUAGCCAAGAUGAGGAGUAUGAAUCCACAAGAGGCUGCUGCAGCUGCUGCUCAAGCAGUUGCAGAGGCAGAAGCUGCUAUGGCAGAAGCCGAAGAAGCAGAAAGGGAGGCAGAGGUAGCAGAAGCUGAUGCAGAAGCAGCACAGGCUUUUGCAGAAGCAGCAAUGAAGACACUGAAAGGAAGAAACACACUAGGGGUGAUGAUCCGUGCUUGAUAGGCAUUGACAAAAUGGUCAAUUAUGAGAUGAACUAGGGCAUUCUGUGGAUCAGCUCCCACAUGGAUCUGUGUAUUUCUUCUCAGUAUUUGGUCUGUUGUUGUAGAUAAGGAAUGAAAUAUAUUGCACUGUUAGGAAAUUUUAGAAUGCCUCCAAAUGGGAAAAGCCAGUAAAUACAAAGAAAUGGUAAAAGUUUGAUUCAAUUGGGAUGUUUAUUGUACAGUGAUCACGUCCAUGGUCCCGUUUAUUGCUUGAACCUUUGAGAUAGAAUUAUGAAUGGAACUGUUGACAGUA